This 402-nucleotide ribosomal RNA is filed under the name uncultured bacterium. RNAcentral's name for it is "bacterial SSU rRNA". It matches the Rfam family "Bacterial small subunit ribosomal RNA", at positions 917 to 1322 of the family's 1533-position model. The record is from RNAcentral.
GGGCCCGCACAAGCGGUGGAGCAUGUGGUUUAAUUCGAUGAUACGCGAGGAACCUUACCAGGGCUUAAAUGUAAGUUGCAUUAGCUAGAGAUAGCUAUUUCUUCGGACCACUUACAAGGUGCUGCAUGGUUGUCGUCAGCUCGUGCCGUGAGGUGUCAGGUUAAGUCCUAUAACGAGCGCAACCCCUGUUGUUAGUUGCCAGCGAGUCAUGUCGGGAACUCUAACAAGACUGCCGGUGCAAACCGUGAGGAAGGUGGGGAUGACGUCAAAUCAUCACGGCCCUUACGUCCUGGGCUACACACGUGCUACAAUGGUCGGUACAGAGAGCAGCCACUGCGCGAGCAGGAGCGAAUCUAUAAAACCGAUCACAGUUCGGAUCGGAGUCUGCAACUCGACUCCGUG